Molecule: ribosomal RNA, 736 nt
Filed under: Bacillus subtilis
Lineage: Bacteria; Bacillati; Bacillota; Bacilli; Caryophanales; Bacillaceae
Description: bacterial SSU rRNA
Rfam family: Bacterial small subunit ribosomal RNA
Source: RNAcentral
UGGGCGUUAAGGGCUCCGCAGGCGGUUUUUUAAGUCUGAUUGUUGAAAGCCCCCGGCUCAACCGGGGAGGGUCAUUGGAAACUGGGGAACUUGAGUGCAGAAGAGGAGAGUGGAAUUCCACGUGUAGCGGUGAAAUGCGUAGAGAUGUGGAGGAACACCAGUGGCGAAGGCGACUCUCUGGUCUGUAACUGACGCUGAGGAGCGAAAGCGUGGGGAGCGAACAGGAUUAGAUACCCUGGUAGUCCACGCCGUAAACGAUGAGUGCUAAGUGUUAGGGGGUUUCCGCCCCUUAGUGCUGCAGCUAACGCAUUAAGCACUCCGCCUGGGGAGUACGGUCGCAAGACUGAAACUCAAAGGAAUUGACGGGGGCCCGCACAAGCGGUGGAGCAUGUGGUUUAAUUCGAAGCAACGCGAAGAACCUUACCAGGUCUUGACAUCCUCUGACAAUCCUAGAGAUAGGACGUCCCCUUCGGGGGCAGAGUGACAGGUGGUGCAUGGUUGUCGUCAGCUCGUGUCGUGAGAUGUUGGGUUAAGUCCCGCAACGAGCGCAACCCUUGAUCUUAGUUGCCAGCAUUCAGUUGGGCACUCUAAGGUGACUGCCGGUGACAAACCGGAGGAAGGUGGGGAUGACGUCAAAUCAUCAUGCCCCUUAUGACCUGGGCUACACACGUGCUACAAUGGACAGAACAAAGGGCAGCGAAACCGCGAGGUUAAGCCAAUCCCACAAAUCUGUUCU